Molecule: long non-coding RNA, 1973 nt
Organism: Solea senegalensis (Senegalese sole)
Lineage: Eukaryota; Metazoa; Chordata; Actinopteri; Pleuronectiformes; Soleidae
Exons: 2
Source: RefSeq, a predicted model, not a curated record
CUGCUGCUGUCACUGCUACUGCUGCUGUCACUGCUGCUGCUGCUGUCAACAGCUCGGGGAGGACGAGGAUGACGACAGCGACAAGGGAAAACCAGCCACUCUCUCCUUAAAUGAAUGUCACAGAUGUGUUAGAGGGAUGGGUCGUCUCGAAAAGGCCCGACUUGGACUUCCAAGUGGAAAUUGAUGUCAUCCUGAAGCUCUGCUGCCAAAACGCUGCUGCUGCUGCUGCUGCUGCUGCUGCUGAGGGAGUCUAUCAUUAUGUCGACUUCAGUCCAGGAGACAAACUGCUCAACGGGAGCAGGGGAGAAAAAGUAGCCGUGACGUCCAGGACACUCACAGUGUUUCCACGCUCGCUGAAGUGGAGCCGACACUUAGGUUCAGAGCAGCAGCCAAAGAUUGUUUUCAGUAAGUAACUCAUCUGUUGUUAGAUUUCACCCUAAAACCCUCACAAUGAUGAUGUUACCAAGACUGUCCUCUAGGGGUCGGGGGGGGGAGAAUCCAUACAGGAUUAAAUUGCUUUAUUUUGCUUGACAAUUUUUUCAACUGAUUCAAGUGUUCGUGGAUUAUAAUACAAAAGGAAAAAGGAAAACUUACAAUUCAGUCCACUAGGUGGUGCCAAGUACAGUGUGGGACGCGUCGCUAACAUUCCACCAUUAACGAUAACGACUUACAUUCAGUGUUCGUACGUUCCACCGUCACCAAAUUACACUUCUGUCUAUUUUGGAUCGAGCUCAAUAAAAUACAACGACUCCUCCUCCUCAACGUUCGCCAUGUUUGUUGAUACCUGAGACGUGGUCAGUACUCGGCACUGCCCUCCAGAGGAAGCAUCGCGCAUACCAACGCAAAAGACGCACGGACGUUUGUAGGAGUAGAAAAACGGACAGAAAUAAGAGGAGCAGUCACUGGUGUUUGUAUAAUUGAAGUAGUUAAAUCUACCUGGAUCUACAAAAACAUCACCUGAUAGCCACACACACUGGUUUACACCAGGAAACGUGGUUUAGUCACCAACACGGACUCAUUCAUAUACAAUAGGAGGCUAAAAGUACAUGUCUGUUCUAAACGGACACAUGUUUGACGAUCGAUUGGUGUUUUCUGAUCAAUGUCAGGUUGUCAGAAUAAUAAUGAAUAAGCAGAGGAGGCGAGCACGCAGAGGAAAUAAAAGUCUCUAAACAGCUUCAUGUUUGACAUUCCUAACCUUACUGUCAUCAUCGUUUCCUCCAUUAAAGGAGUGAGUGGGAAGCUGGGGGGUGUUUCUUCUGGCAGGAAAAUGUGGGGGAAUUCUGGACCAGGUCCUUCACUGAGAGAUGCUCAGGACAUGUUCUGACAUGAUUCAAGGGCAUCCUCUCAAUUGAAGGUACAAAAACACUGCCCCCUGCUGGACAGUUAGACGCAUAGCACAGGAGAGGAGAGGAGCAACUCCAGAGUGGAUUUUCAUGUCUGUCAUGUGACCCGAGUCCAUCGGACGUGCUGGUGUGCUGUGGCUCCACCUGACAUGAGUUUAAUGUAAUAAUAAAACCACUCUCAUGAGUAUUGUAGUCUCUACCUGCCACGCCGACCUGGUGAGUGGCAAACCCCGGCAGUCUGCUCUCGCCGUCUCCCAGCCACAGAGCGAGGACGGCGUGGUGGUGCCUGGCGUGGUGGAAGGUGAAGCCGUGAGCGGAAGCUGCGGCGGCACAUCGACUCAGUGAGAUGGGAACCCGGAGCCACACUGCUACCUUCCCCUCUGCUUUCCACCGCACCAGAGACUCUGAGUUCAUGAUAUGAAGAGAAUCAGACCAGACAUGUGACUGAGUGAAGACAGAAACAUAGACUUAAAGGAUCAGGAUUUAUUGACGACAGGAACACAGGCCAUGUGGCCUUCACUGUCGCUGCGUGGACUAAAUCAAGCAUGGGGCUGUUCAAAAGAUACAUAAAUAAGUUAAUAUUACAUGAAUUCAGUUGCUGGUCAAAGAAAAUAAAGAUAUCUGACUCAA